UACGUAGGCAGCGAGCGUUGUUCGGAAUUACUGGGCGUAAAGAGUGUGUAGGCGGUGCUCUAAGUUCGGUGUGAAAUCUCCCGGCUUAACUGGGAGGGUGCGCCGGAAACUGGAGUGCUCGAGCGUGGGAGAGGAAAGCGGAAUUCCUGGUGUAGCGGUGAAAUGCGCAGAUAUCAGGAGGAACACCAAUUGCGAAGGCAGCUCGCUGGGACGUUACUGACGCUGAGGCGCGAAAGCGUGGGGAGCAAACAGG
Molecule: ribosomal RNA, 253 nt
Filed under: uncultured bacterium
Lineage: Bacteria
Description: partial 16S ribosomal RNA
Rfam family: Bacterial small subunit ribosomal RNA
Source: RNAcentral